AUACGGAGGGUGCAAGCGUUAAUCGGAAUUACUGGGCGUAAAGCGCGCGUAGGCGGUUUGAUAAGUCGGAUGUGAAAUCCCCGGGCUCAACCUGGGAAUUGCAAUCGAUACUGUCAGGCUAGAGUGUGGUAGAGGGAAGUGGAAUUUCCGGUGUAGCGGUGAAAUGCGUAGAUAUCGGAAGGGACACCAGUGGCGAAGGCGGCUUCCUGGACCAACACUGACGCUGAGGUGCGAAAGCGUGGGGAGCAAACAGGAUUAGAAACCCUAGUAGUCC
Molecule: ribosomal RNA, 274 nt
Filed under: uncultured bacterium
Lineage: Bacteria
Description: partial 16S ribosomal RNA
Rfam family: Bacterial small subunit ribosomal RNA
Source: RNAcentral